This 478-nucleotide ribosomal RNA is filed under the name uncultured bacterium. Its description in RNAcentral is "partial 16S ribosomal RNA". It matches the Rfam family "Bacterial small subunit ribosomal RNA", at positions 28 to 507 of the family's 1533-position model. The record is from RNAcentral.
GAUUAACGCUGGCGGCGUGCAUAACACAUGCAAGUCGAACGAUGAAACUCAUUAGAUUUCUUCGGAAUGAAAAUGAAUGGAUUAGUGGCGAACGGGUGAGUAACGCGUGAGUAACCUGCCUAACACAAGGGGAUAGCCUCUGGAAACGGAGAAUAAUACCCUAUGAAACCAGACAAUCGCAUGAUAAUCUGGUCAAAAUGUUUAGUGGUGUAAGAUGGACUUGCGUCUGAUUAGCUAGUUGGUGAGAUAAAAGCUCACCAAGGCAACGAUCAGUAGCCGGCUUGAGAGAGUGUACGGCCACAUUGGGACUGAGACACGGCCCAGACUCCUACGGGAGGCAGCAGUGGGGAAUUUUGCACAAUGGGGGAAACCCUGAUGCAGCGACGCCGCGUGAUUUAGAAGGCCUUCGGGUUGUAAAAAUCUUUUGUAUAGGAAGAAAAUGACAGUACUAUACGAAUAAGGUCCGGCUAAUUACGUG